This 496-nucleotide ribosomal RNA is filed under the name uncultured bacterium. Its description in RNAcentral is "partial 16S ribosomal RNA". It matches the Rfam family "Bacterial small subunit ribosomal RNA", at positions 29 to 507 of the family's 1533-position model. The record is from RNAcentral.
AUGAACGCUGGCGGCGUGCCUAAUCCAUGCAAGUCGAGCGAACAGACGAGGAGCUUGCUCCUCUGAUGUUAGCGGCGGACGGGUGAGUAACACGUGGAUAACCUACCUAUAAGACUGGGAUAACUUCGGGAAACCGGAGCUAAUACCGGAUAACAUGUUGAACCGCAUGGUUCAACAGUGAAAGACGGUCUUGCUGUCACUUAUAGAUGGAUCCGCGCCGCAUUAGCUAGUUGGUAAGGUAACGGCUUACCAAGGCAACGAUGCGUAGCCGACCUGAGAGGGUGAUCGGCCACACUGGAACUGAGACACGGUCCAGACUCCUACGGGAGGCAGCAGUAGGGAAUCUUCCGCAAUGGGCGAAAGCCUGACGGAGCAACGCCGCGUGAGUGAAGAAGGUCUUCGGAUCGUAAAACUCUGUUAUUAGGGAAGAACAAAUGUGUAAGUAACUAUGCACGUCUUGACGGUACCUAAUCAGAAAGCCACGGCUAACUACGUG